RNAcentral lists this unclassified non-coding RNA (236 nucleotides) under plant metagenome. Its description in RNAcentral is "partial contains small subunit ribosomal RNA, internal transcribed spacer 1, and 5.8S ribosomal RNA". The record is from RNAcentral.
UUUCCGUAGGUGAACCUGCGGAAGGAUCAUUACCGAGCUAGGGCCCUCUGGGUCCAACCUCCCACCCGUGUCUCUUGUACCUCGUUGCUUCCGCGGGCCCGCCUCACCGCCGCCGGGGUGCAUCACGCCCCCGGGCCAGCUCCCGCCGAUGACACCCACGAACUCUGUCUCAAGAGUGCAACCUGACUGAAAUGAUAAAUUAUUUAAAACUUUCAACAACGGAUCUCUUGGUUCCG